CAUCACUCCCAACCUCCUGAGCUUUCUCAGUUUGCUUAAUUCUGCGGGGAAAUCACCACCACCAUGUAAUCCAGUGAGGGUAAGGAGGUCAGUGAAUCGAGAUAUCAUUUCUGGCAUCUUCAUUCCCAUGUUCUUUAACAUUUUGAUGUGCUUUAAUCUAAUCAGAUUUGAGUAUUUCACCAGAUAGUGAUGUCAAUCUCCCGCAGCAGCAGUCCAACGUCUCCAAAGCAUUUAAGUUGCCGAUUGUCACCGGAAGAUCAGCCAUAUCAUUUUGUUUCAAGCCCAGAUAAGUCAAAUGAAUCAAGUCUCCCAAUUCAUCAGGUAUGCUCUUGAUCUCAACUCCUUCAAGAUCUAGCGCCCGGAGAAACUUUGCUCCUGGGAAGCUCAACCAGUUCCCUUCGAAACGAUACUGUUUCCCAAACGAGAACAAUGUUCUCGGCCUAAUAUCUUUCAGCAACUCUGCUAUAUUUGUCAUGUCAGGAGCUAAAAUCCGACGUGCUCUUCUGGGGAUGGUUGAAUAUGGUGCAGGAUGGGUAGAUACAAAUCGUUCGCGAACGAUUUCUCGAUAAAGAGAUGCAAUAGUGAUGCUUGUUCCAUGACCUGGGUGUUCAUUCUUCUUGCAGAUCAUCCCUGGAACGAUCAGUUCGUUGAUAUUCUCUGCAGCUAAUUCCUCUGGUAAUCUUCCGGCCAAUUCCUGGACCAGACCUUCUGCUACUAGCAACCGGAUCAACUUCCCCUUGGCGAUCAAGUAACCCUCUGGGAAUAUGCAGCAAUAUAACAAGCAAGAUUGAAGGUAAUAAGGCAAGCUAGCAUAGAUUAACCUGGAUUCAUCCAAAGUUUCAUCCUCGAC
RNAcentral lists this long non-coding RNA (850 nucleotides) under Linum usitatissimum (flax). RNAcentral describes it as "long non-coding RNA (LUSI_LNC002118)". Lineage: Eukaryota; Viridiplantae; Streptophyta; Magnoliopsida; Malpighiales; Linaceae. The record is from RNAcentral.